This is a long non-coding RNA of Musca domestica (house fly), 884 nucleotides long. RefSeq lists it as uncharacterized. The record is from RefSeq and is a predicted model, not a curated record. The transcript is spliced from 2 exons. Lineage: Eukaryota; Metazoa; Arthropoda; Insecta; Diptera; Muscidae.
CAAAAGGUAAAUUUGUUGUGACUGCAUGCACAUAAUCUCAAAACGAUGAACGGGAUAAGUGGUGGCAUGAAAAAUAUUAUCAGCAGCAAUAAGAACAAAAAUGAGUAAUGCACAAGAUAAGGGUUUCUGUUGGGUGAUUAUAGCCACCGAUUUUAGUUAAAAAAGGCAUUUCCCAACCAAGGGUUAAUGGGAAUAAUGACAUCUGACAUGGGUUAAUUUGUAGCAGAUACACAGAAGAAGACAAACGUUAGAAAACAAAUGAACGAAUACGAUCAUGACAAGAACAAGGAGAAUAGAGAUACAAAGCAAUAGAGAGGGAGAUCGAAAAAAAGAUAAAAGAUACAUUUUGAGAGUCAGAUACAAUAAUUGUUUUGUUUUACUUUGCAUAUGAUGACGUGAGAUUGGGAGUGGAUCACGGCGUGUGAGAGUGUGAGUAGCUUGAUGCCCAGAUUGUCUGUAGGUAUGUGUCCAAGAAAAUUAACUUAAAUUUAUUACUUUUGUUUUUUCAUUUGUAUGAAUGUUUUUUGGCUCCAUUUACUGAUGGCCCUGAAAAAAGUUUUCAAGCAGAAAUCAUCCAUAUCUUAUUAGAAACUAGAGCACAAAUAUACAAUAGCAACAGAUAGAUAGUCGUGGUGUUUGUUUGAAAAGAAAAACACCGGUCUUCUAUUUUUUGGAAAACGCAAAACCCCACCCUCCCCUGCAAAUGAGGGCAGAACAAAGCUAUUCCACGCACACAAUUUUCUCCACGAUUGAUUGAAUUAAAAUUUAUGGAAUUAAACGCUCGCGUACCUAAGAGAUUUGUUCGAGUUGAAGUUACGGCCGCCGACGACCAUGAAACGAAUUCCGAGUUCGUCUCUGAUUCACGUUAAUUUGGAAUUUAAAAA